CAUGAUGAACGCUAGCUUACAGGCUUAACACAUGCAAGUCGAGGGGCAGCAUGGUCUUAGCUUGCUAAGGCCGAUGGCGACCGGCGCACGGGUGAGUAACACGUAUCCAACUUGCCGUCUACUCUUGGACAGCCUUCUGAAAGGAAGAUUAAUACAAGAUGGCAUCAUGAGUCCGCAUGUUCACAUGAUUAAAGGUAUUCCGGUAGACGAUGGGGAUGCGUUCCAUUAGAUAGUAGGCGGGGUAACGGCCCACCUAGUCUUCGAUGGAUAGGGGUUCUGAGAGGAAGGUCCCCCACAUUGGAACUGAGACACGGUCCAAACUCNUACGGGAGGCAGCAGUGAGGAAUAUUGGUCAAUGGGCGAGAGCCUGAACCAGCCAAGUAGCGUGAAGGAUGACUGCCCUAUGGGUUGUAAACUUCUUUUAUAAAGGAAUAAAGUCGGGUAUGGAUACCCGUUUGCAUGUACUUUAUGAAUAAGGAUCGGCUAACUCCGUGCCAGCAGCCGCGGUAAUACGGAGGAUCCGAGCGUUAUCCGGAUUUAUUGGGUUUAAAGGGAGCGUAGAUGGAUGUUUAAGUCAGUUGUGAAAGUUUGCGGCUCAACCGUAAAAUUGCAGUUGAUACUGGAUAUCUUGAGUGCAGUUGAGGCAGGCGGAAUUCGUGGUGUAGCGGUGAAAUGCUUAGAUAUCACGAAGAACUCCGAUUGCGAAGGCAGCCUGCUAAGCUGCAACUG
This 729-nucleotide ribosomal RNA is filed under the name uncultured Bacteroidales bacterium. RNAcentral describes it as "bacterial SSU rRNA". It matches the Rfam family "Bacterial small subunit ribosomal RNA", at positions 25 to 742 of the family's 1533-position model. The record is from RNAcentral. Lineage: Bacteria; Pseudomonadati; Bacteroidota; Bacteroidia; Bacteroidales.